This 1366-nucleotide ribosomal RNA is filed under the name Enterococcus faecium. RNAcentral's name for it is "bacterial SSU rRNA". It matches the Rfam family "Bacterial small subunit ribosomal RNA", at positions 127 to 1469 of the family's 1533-position model. The record is from RNAcentral. Lineage: Bacteria; Bacillati; Bacillota; Bacilli; Lactobacillales; Enterococcaceae.
UUUUCACCGGACUGUUCCACCGAAAAGAGUGGCAACGGUGAUAACUGGUACUGUCCUCAGAGGGGAUAAACUGAACCGGUCUAUUCGGUAACCAUCGACGCCAUGUUUGAAUGGAGGCGCUUCGGGUCCGUGAUGAUGAACCGCGGUGCAUAGCUAGUGUGAGGUACGCCACCAGCACGAUGCAUAGCGACUGAGAGGGUGAUCGCACAUUGGACUGAGACACGCCCAAACUCUACGGGAGGCAGCAGUAGGGAAUCUCGCAAUGACGAAAGUCUGACCGAGCAACGCCGCGUGAGUGAAGAAGUUUUCGGAUCGUAAACUCUGUUGUUAGAGAAGAACAAGGAUGAGAGUAACUGUUCAUCCCUUGACGGUAUCUAACCAGAAAGCCACGGCUAACUACGUGCCAGCAGCCGCGGUAAUACGUAGGUGGCAAGCGUUGUCCGGAUUUAUUGGGCGUAAAGCGAGCGCAGGCGGUUUCUUAAGUCUGAUGUGAAAGCCCCCGGCUCAACCGGGGAGGGUCAUUGGAAACUGGGAGACUUGAGUGCAGAAGAGGAGAGUGGAAUUCCAUGUGUAGCGGUGAAAUGCGUAGAUAUAUGGAGGAACACCAGUGGCGAAGGCGGCUCUCUGGUCUGUAACUGACGCUGAGGCUCGAAAGCGUGGGGAGCAAACAGGAUUAGAUACCCUGGUAGUCCACGCCGUAAACGAUGAGUGCUAAGUGUUGGAGGGUUUCCGCCCUUCAGUGCUGCAGCUAACGCAUUAAGCACUCCGCCUGGGGAGUACGACCGCAAGGUUGAAACUCAAAGGAAUUGACGGGGGCCCGCACAAGCGGUGGAGCAUGUGGUUUAAUUCGAAGCAACGCGAAGAACCUUACCAGGUCUUGACAUCCUUUGACCACUCUAGAGAUAGAGCUUCCCCUUCGGGGGCAAAGUGACAGGUGGUGCAUGGUUGUCGUCAGCUCGUGUCGUGAGAUGUUGGGUUAAGUCCCGCAACGAGCGCAACCCUUAUUGUUAGUUGCCAUCAUUCAGUUGGGCACUCUAGCAAGACUGCCGGUGACAAACCGGAGGAAGGUGGGGAUGACGUCAAAUCAUCAUGCCCCUUAUGACCUGGGCUACACACGUGCUACAAUGGGAAGUACAACGAGUUGCGAAGUCGCGAGGCUAAGCUAAUCUCUUAAAGCUUCUCUCAGUUCGGAUUGCAGGCUGCAACUCGCCUGCAUGAAGCCGGAAUCGCUAGUAAUCGCGGAUCAGCACGCCGCGGGGAAUACGUUCCCGGGCCUUGUACACACCGCCCGUCUACACCGACGAGAGUUUGUAACACCCGAAGUCGGUGAGGUAACCUUUGGAGCCAGCCGCCUAAGGAUGGAAUA